UUUUGAAUUCGCGGCUAGGUCUGAUCGACAUCAACCGCUCAUUGCAAGCAUCGCGACGUUUGGUCUCCGCCACCGCAACCGCUUUCUCAUUCGACUCCUCCUCCUCAUUCCGUCGAACACGUGGUGCGCGUCAGAGAAUCGCUUCAUCCAAGUCUCCGGCGUCUCCAUCUCCACUGCGGAAUCCGUCUGAUGGAUUCAAUUUCGACGUUCAGCUGACUCAGAAAGCUCCUCAUCUCGGAAGACGCCGCCGUCGCCUCCAACGGUGGUGGAGCUCGACGCUUUCCUCGAGAUCCUUCCUCCGGCGACGAGGAAGAAAGCCACUCGCUCGAUUCCCUUCCGGCGAUUGGGUGAUAUCGGAGCACCCGGUUACACCUCAAGAUCUGAAGCUUGCCGUAUCAAACUCACUUACAAAGCUCAUACACUGCUUGAAUGAUAGUGUUUUCAAUUAUAGGUUGGUGAUAACCGGUCGGGAAUUAACACAUCUUUGCAUCGUAUAAGUAACCGGAAACUGCAAAUAAUUGAUUUAACAUGUUGAGUGGGUCGAGCUGUGUCUGGAAGUGCAGUGCAUCUUGGUCAUAGGUUCUCCUGGAGUUGGCAAAACUACUUUGGAAACACGUGUGGUGAUUGUCGACACGUCAAAUGAGAUUGGUGGUGAUGGUGAUGUUCCUCACUCUGGAAUAGGCUGUGCUAAGAGGGUGCAAGUUCCUAAUGUGAAUUUACAACAUGAUGUUAUGAUUGAGGCGGUUGAGAAUCACAUGCCUGAGACCAUUUGAUAGAAACAAUGUCACUAUCUUAUCAACAACAGAGGAAUUAGUACAGAGAAAGCUAUCUUGCUCUCCAAGCCACAAGGCUCCUCCUACUAACCAACUAACUCUCAAUUACAAUCCUCUCUUCUAUUUAUACUCUCCACUUGAAUGUAACAGGCCUUCUCUUCCUCUUAUUGUGCAGGUGACAGGUCAUCAGCUUCUCACGUGACAUAUACUUUGCUUCUGUGAUCAUAUCACCAUCAUCAUAUAUGAGAUAGGCACAGAGCUUGAGGCAUUAGCUGCUAGCACUAUUGCUCAGAGAGGAGUCCAGCUUGUUGCAGCAAGAAUGGACCCAAGAAGCCUCUUUCUUUUUGGUUUGGUAGUAGAGAGUAGAAGUAAGUAUGAGAAACAGAUACUGAAACACU
Molecule: long non-coding RNA, 1171 nt
Organism: Brassica oleracea var. oleracea
Lineage: Eukaryota; Viridiplantae; Streptophyta; Magnoliopsida; Brassicales; Brassicaceae
Exons: 3
Source: RefSeq, a predicted model, not a curated record